This 427-nucleotide RNase P RNA is filed under the name Bradyrhizobium sp. WBOS4. RNAcentral describes it as "RNase P RNA component class A". It matches the Rfam family "Bacterial RNase P class A". Rfam says of the family: Ribonuclease P (RNase P) is a ubiquitous endoribonuclease, found in archaea, bacteria and eukarya as well as chloroplasts and mitochondria. Its best characterised activity is the generation of mature 5'-ends of tRNAs by cleaving the 5'-leader elements of precursor-tRNAs. The record is from RNAcentral. Lineage: Bacteria; Pseudomonadati; Pseudomonadota; Alphaproteobacteria; Hyphomicrobiales; Nitrobacteraceae. RNAcentral also lists the same sequence under 3 other names.
UCAGUCGGCCGGACGGCCGCUCCGGCAGGUGCCGAAAGGCCGCCGGGGAGGAAAGUCCGGGCUCCCUUGACAUGCGGUGCCGGAUAACGUCCGGCGGGGGUGACCCCAGGGAAAGUGCCACAGAGAACGAACCGCCCCGCUUCGCCUUCGGGCUUGGCAGGGUAAGGGUGAAAAGGUGCGGUAAGAGCGCACCGCGGCUGCGGCAACGGAGCCGGCAUGGCAAACCCCACCGGGAGCAAAACCGAAUAGGGACGGCGUAGCGGGCUGUUCGCGAAAGCGAUAACGCCGCGGGGCGAUGUCAGGCCCGCCGUCCGGGUAGGUUGCUCGAGGCCGUGUGCAAACACGGUCCCAGAGGAAUGGCCGUCACGUAUCGUCCGCGCAAGCGGACGGUGCCCUACAGAACCCGGCUUACAGGCCGGCUGAUAUC